CAGGUACUGGAUAAACAGAGAAGAAGAAGGGACAGGUACUGAAUAAACAGAGAAGGGGAAAGGGACAGGUACUGAAUAAACAGAGAAGGAGGAGGGACAGGUACUGGAUAAACAGAGAAGGAGGAGGGACAGGUACUGGAUAAACAGAGAAGGGGAAAGGGACAGGUACUGGAUAAACAGAGAAGGAGGAGGGACAGGUACUGGAUAAACAGAGAAGGAGAAGGAGAAGAGACAGGUACUGGAUAAGGGACAGAUAUGGGGAUAAUAUUGUGGUUUGGCACAGGGAUAUCCAUGGGGGGGGGGGACUACUUCUACAAG
Ictalurus punctatus (channel catfish) is the source of this 318-nucleotide long non-coding RNA. Lineage: Eukaryota; Metazoa; Chordata; Actinopteri; Siluriformes; Ictaluridae. The record is from Ensembl.